This 486-nucleotide ribosomal RNA is filed under the name uncultured bacterium. Its description in RNAcentral is "partial 16S ribosomal RNA". It matches the Rfam family "Bacterial small subunit ribosomal RNA", at positions 30 to 507 of the family's 1533-position model. The record is from RNAcentral.
AUUGAACGCUGGCGGCAUGCCUUACACAUGCAAGUCGAACGGCAGCACGGGUGCUUGCCCCUGGUGGCGAGUGGCGAACGGGUGAGUAAUACAUCGGAACAUGUCCUGUAGUGGGGGAUAGCCCGGCGAAAGCCGGAUUAAUACCGCAUACGAUCUACGGAUGAAAGCGGGGGACCUUCGGGCCUCGCGCUAUAGGGUUGGCCGAUGGCUGAUUAGCUAGUUGGUGGGGUAGAGGCCUACCAAGGCGACGAUCAGUAGCUGGUCUGAGAGGACGACCAGCCACACUGGGACUGAGACACGGCCCAGACUCCUACGGGAGGCAGCAGUGGGGAAUUUUGGACAAUGGGCGAAAGCCUGAUCCAGCAAUGCCGCGUGUGUGAAGAAGGCCUUCGGGUUGUAAAGCACUUUUGUCCGGAAAGAAAUCCUUGGCCCUAAUACGGUCGGGGGAUGACGGUACCGGAAGAAUAAGCACCGGCUAACUACGUG